Molecule: long non-coding RNA, 2395 nt
Organism: Nyctereutes procyonoides (raccoon dog)
Lineage: Eukaryota; Metazoa; Chordata; Mammalia; Carnivora; Canidae
Exons: 3
Source: RefSeq, a predicted model, not a curated record
CCCACCUGAUCCCCGGGCUUCGGCCUCCUCCUGAAAGGACAGAGCCCUGAGGGUGCAGCUUUGGAGAGACCUUACCUGCUGCAACAGGAGCCAGGGCCUGCUCCGGGGCCGGGUCUGAGCUGAUGAGGCUCUCGUACCUUCUGGAUGGCAGGUCCCAUCCCAUGGCUUCCAGGCAGCUGAGGAUCAUCUCCCCCACCCCGAGGAACUGCCUCAAGGUGACUUGGAGGACAAGCAACAAUCAUUUCAGUUCCAGACACACGGUGGGUGCUCAAGAACUUGAUGCUGUUUUCAAGAGAAACAUUCUUAUCAGGUCAAUCCACAGGCGGUUCUGGGUACAGUUGCAGGCCUUGUGCAAAGAAACCAGGGUGCGUGCCAAUUCAAGAAUCGAGCUCUCAAGGGCAAGCAGCUAUUUGUAUUGCUCACACCUGCGUAAAUAAAGGAACACAAGAUGAGGAGAAAAGUCACCAGAGGAACCACGGCCCACACAGGCACAAGGCAACUAUUCUGCGUGUAGAUGAAGCAUGGCUAAUGCCCAAGAAGCUUCCAUGAUGCUUCAAGACAUGACGGGGGAGCUUCUGGAAAGACGGCUGCAUCGUAGUUCCCUGCCCCCUGGAAGGCAACGUUAAGCUUAAUUUCCCGCUCCAGGUAUUGCUAGGCUUCGGAACUAAUACAACGGGAAGCAAGGGGUCAUUGUUCCUUUUCCAAACAACAAUGACGUAACAAAGCCUCAGUGACGACUUCUUACAUAGACAUUUAUGAUAGACACUUUUAGAUUUCUUUUUGAAAAUAAAAGAUAUGAAGGAAGAAUCAGUUGAAUCACUGGAAAGACGGCGACAAAAGCAUCUGAAAGAAGAAAUCAACAUUAGUACCUUUAAAUGUACUUCUUUGCGAGAUUGUCCAGCUUCAACAGAAUAUUCUAGAUUACGUCUCCAUGGGCCCCGGAAUAUAAACCGACCUGCAAUCCAUUGGGUGAUGGGGAAACAAAAACGCAGGGAAGUUGAUGAAGAUUGUAAUUUUUUUGAACAGCUUAGCCUGCUCGGGGCCUAGGUCUGAAUUCCACAAUAGUUUCUAUUUUUCUUCGGGUCCGAUCAUCCCGGCAAGGUGUAAAAGUGCCAUCUGGUUUGUCGGAAAGCUCCGGCCACUCCCCAGAUGGGACUGUGGACGUGUGAUUCCGGCACUGCUGCCGUCUAGCUACCUGUCAGUUGCUGUCUCACCAGCCGCCUCUCCCCGGCCCCACACACUGUUUGGGAAAAUCCUUAGCCUGUGCUUCCUACGACCCUGCAGCGCCUCACCCAGGGGCAAGCUGCUUGACUGCAAACCGGGCUCAGCAGUCAUGGUAUUUUCACUUGGGGCUCAUAUUUGCAACUCCCUUUGGUUUUCCCUAUGUACAUACAGCCUAAAAUGUGCAGAACGUGUUUCCUUUUGUCAGUCCUUUGGGCCUCUUGGGUUCCACAUCUCCUGCUGUUCAGACAUAACUUGCUGUCUUUUUGAGGCACCUGCCAGGAGAGCUCAGCUUGAGUUUUGUGAACCCCAUAUGCCCCUUAAAGCCAGACUCUGUCAAGCAUGUUUCUCAACCGCAGUGAAAUUCUGUUGUGAGAUUUAGCUGCUCAGAAAGCCACUAGCUGUCAGGUCGCGAAGGCUCCUUGGGACUUCUAAAAGUGAGUAGUGAAUAUGUCACAAGACUACAUUUGGAGUCAGAACUUCCAAAAACGCUCUCUCCUUACUAACAGAAAACCGUUUAACUACUUUCACAUGGUGUGUUAAUCGAUGUUAUUGUAUUCACAGAGAUUACGCCAAGAAGAUUAAAGGGCAUGCUAACGCUUUUGGGUCUAGUAAACCACGAGUGUCCUCAAACACAGGAAAAUUUCUGCAGAGUUGGAAUGCUUCUCCAGCAGGCAACCAACAUUCGUGAGCAAAAGACUUACUUUUAGGGAGCUUUCCAAGGGGACCCACCUGAUGCAAGAAUUCAAGCAUGGGUGCUUGGUGCAUGCGCACAAAUACAUACACACAGAGAAGUUAGGAUGUGUAACAUCGCUUCUGUGCACUUACGAGGAGUAAGAGAUGACCGGCUUUGCUCCCCGGUCUGGAAACACGGUUCUCUUGGUACGAAUGAUACCCUCAGCAGGGAGCUGAACUUUUCUGAGCUCUUUUUCCUAAGAACCUGGGCCAGGAUGAUGAGGUUCAAGGCAAGAUCACCAGCAACAGGGUGUCAGCUUUCUGCAGAACCGAGCCAGUUGAGUUUUAAAAACAUCAUCUUUCGAAUACUCAUUUUGUGCCCUACACUUUUUGUAUGUCUCUAAUCCUCCUUGUCCUGUGAUGAAGAUAUAAUAUUUCCUAAUUUUACAUACUGCUGAACACCCUUCUUUGCUUUGUUUUUCCCUACAGUACUUUUACU